UAGGGAAUCUUGCGCAAUGGGCGAAAGCCUGACGCAGCCAUGCCGCGUGAAUGAUGAAGGUCUUAGGAUUGUAAAAUUCUUUCACCGGGGAAGAUAAUGACGGUACCCGGAGAAGAAGCCCCGGCUAACUUCGUGCCAGCAGCCGUGGUAAUACGAAGGGGGCUAGCGUUGCUCGGAAUUACUGGGCGUAAAGGGCGCGUAGGCGGACAUUUAAGUCAGGGGUGAAAGCCCGGGGCUCAACCUCGGAAUUGCCUUUGAUACUGGAUGUCUUGAGUUCGGGAGAGGUGAGUGGAAUGCCGAGUGUAGAGGUGAAAUUCGUAGAUAUUCGGCGGAACACCAGUGGCGAAGGCGACUCACUGGCCCGAUACUGACGCUGAGGCGCGAAAGCGUGGGGAGCAAACAGGAUUAGAUACCCUGGUAGUCCACGCCGUAAACGAUGAGUGCUAGUUGUCGGCAUGCAUGCAUGUCGGUGACGCAGCUAACGCAUUAAGCACUCCGCCUGGGGAGUACGGUCGCAAGAUUAAAAACUCAAAUGAAUUGACGGGGGUCAUAGCUGUUUCCUG
Molecule: ribosomal RNA, 563 nt
Filed under: uncultured bacterium
Lineage: Bacteria
Description: partial 16S ribosomal RNA
Rfam family: Bacterial small subunit ribosomal RNA
Source: RNAcentral